This 739-nucleotide ribosomal RNA is filed under the name uncultured Staphylococcus sp. Its description in RNAcentral is "bacterial SSU rRNA". It matches the Rfam family "Bacterial small subunit ribosomal RNA", at positions 59 to 780 of the family's 1533-position model. The record is from RNAcentral. Lineage: Bacteria; Bacillati; Bacillota; Bacilli; Caryophanales; Staphylococcaceae.
AAGUCGAGCGAACGGAUGAGAAGCUUGCUUCUCUGAUGUUAGCGGCGGACGGGUGAGUAACACGUGGAUAACCUACCUAUAAGACUGGGAUAACUUCGGGAAACCGGAGCUAAUACCGGAUAAUAUUUUGAACCGCAUGGUUCAAAAGUGAAAGACGGUCUUGCUGUCACUUAUAGAUGGAUCCGCGCUGCAUUAGCUAGUUGGUAAGGUAACGGCUUACCAAGGCAACGAUGCAUAGCCGACCUGAGAGGGUGAUCGGCCACACUGGAACUGAGACACGGUCCAGACUCCUACGGGAGGCAGAAGUAGGGAAUCUUCCGCAAUGGGCGAAAGCCUGACGGAGCAACGCCGCGUGAGUGAUGAAGGUCUUCGGAUCGUAAAACUCUGUUAUUAGGGAAGAACAUAUGCGUAAGUAACUGUGCACAUCUUGACGGUACCUAAUCAGAAAGCCACGGCUAACUACGUGCCAGCAGCCGCGGUAAUACGUAGGUGGCAAGCGUUAUCCGGAAUUAUUGGGCGUAAAGCGCGCGUAGGCGGUUUUUUAAGUCUGAUGUGAAAGCCCACGGCUCAACCGUGGAGGGUCAUUGGAAACUGGAAAACUUGAGUGCAGAAGAGGAAAGUGGAAUUCCAUGUGUAGCGGUGAAAUGCGCAGAGAUAUGGAGGAACACCAGUGGCGAAGGCGACUUUCUGGUCUGUAACUGACGCUGAUGUGCGAAAGCGUGGGGAUCAAACAGGAUUA